AUACGUAGGUGACAAGCGUUAUCCGGAUUUACUGGGUGUAAAGGGCGUGUAGGCGGUUUAGCAAGUCAGAAGUGAAAUUCCCGGGCUUAACUUGGGCGCUGCUUCUGAAACUGCUUUACUUGAGUGCUGGAGAGGAUAGUGGAAUUCCUAGUGUAGCGGUAAAAUGCGCAGAUAUUAGGAGGAACACCGGUGGCGAAGGCGGCUAUCUGGACAGUAACUGACGCUGAGGCGCGAAAGCACGGGGAGCAAACAGGAUUAGAUACCCUGGUAGUCCGUGCCGUAAACGAUGAAUACUAGGUGUAGGGGGUAUCGACUCCCUCUGUGCCGCAGCUAACACAUUAAGUAUUCCACCUGGGGAGUACGACCGCAAGGUUGAAACUCAAAGGAAUUGACGGGG
Molecule: ribosomal RNA, 397 nt
Filed under: uncultured bacterium
Lineage: Bacteria
Description: partial 16S ribosomal RNA
Rfam family: Bacterial small subunit ribosomal RNA
Source: RNAcentral